RNAcentral lists this long non-coding RNA (343 nucleotides) under Physcomitrium patens. RNAcentral describes it as "long non-coding RNA (PPAT_LNC006373)". Lineage: Eukaryota; Viridiplantae; Streptophyta; Bryopsida; Funariales; Funariaceae. The record is from RNAcentral.
UAAAUCUUAAAAAAAUCCUAAUCAAAUUUUAAAAAAAUCUUAGAAAAAUUCUAAUUAAAUUCUAUAAAAAUUCUAAUAAAAUCUUAAACAAAUCAUAAUCAAAUCCUAAACAAAUCUUUAAAAAAUUCUAAUCAAAUCCUUAAAAAAUCCUAAUCAAAUCCUACAAAAAUCUUAAAUAAAUCCUAAUCAAAUCUUAGAUAAAUCUUUAAAAAAUCUUAAUCAAAUCUUAAAAAAUCCUAUACAAAUUCUAAUUAUAUUCUAAAAAAACUUCAAUUAAAUCCUAAAAAAAUCAUAAUCAAAUCCUAAAAAAAUUCUAAACAAAUCCUAAAUCUUAAAUAAAUUC